UUGCUGUUUUGAGAUUAAAGAAGUAGCAUUUGGGAAUUAGCACCAAUCACUGGAAUUUCCAACUCUAGAUUCCUGGAAUGAUGUUUUUUCUUGCCAUUUGUUUUUCUUUACUUGCUGCUUAGCCUCUAGAUUUAUGCCAAUAGAUUAGCAUGCAUUGCCCACAUUGAUGUUGAAAUGCAGUUGUUUUCUAAACACGAAAUAUUAGAUAGCUACAUAAGAUCUAAGAGUUAUGGUUGAUAGAGGAUACCAACUGGAUUAUAGGGGAGUGGGGAGGCAAUAGGUGUACAGCUCUCAUGCUCUGUCUUCGUUUUCAAUUUUGGGUUCCUCACCAAAAUGGUA
RNAcentral lists this long non-coding RNA (339 nucleotides) under Vitis vinifera (wine grape). Its description in RNAcentral is "long non-coding RNA (VVIN_LNC007987)". The record is from RNAcentral. Lineage: Eukaryota; Viridiplantae; Streptophyta; Magnoliopsida; Vitales; Vitaceae.